CCCGUACCGUAAACCGACACAGGUGGAUGGGGAGAGAAUCCUAAGGCCGGCGGAAGAAGUAUUGUUAAGGAACUCGGCAAAAUGACCCCGUAACUUCGGGAGAAGGGGUGCCUGCGAGAGCAGGCCGCAGAGAAGAGGCCCAAGCAACUGUUUAGCAAAAACACAGGUCUAUGCAAAACCGAAAGGUGAGGUAUAUGGGCUGACGCCUGCCCGGUGCUGGAAGGUUAAGGGGAGUGGUCAGGAAACGAAGCCACGAACUUAAGCCCCAGUAAACGGCGGCCGUAACUAUAACGGUCCUAAGGUAGCGAAAUUCCUUGUCGGGUAAGUUCCGACCCGCACGAAAGGCGUAAUGAUUUGGGCGCUGUCUCGACAAUACAUCCGGUGAAAUUGAAGUGCCAGUGAAGAUGCUGGCUACCUGCGCCAGGACGGAAAGACCCCAUGGAGCUUUACUCCAGCUUGAUACUGGGACCCGGUAUUGCAUGUACAGGAUAGGUGGGAGGCUA
RNAcentral lists this non-coding RNA (503 nucleotides) under Clostridiales bacterium KLE1615. RNAcentral describes it as "Bacterial large subunit ribosomal RNA". It matches the Rfam family "Bacterial large subunit ribosomal RNA", at positions 1641 to 2157 of the family's 2925-position model. The record is from Rfam by way of RNAcentral. Lineage: Bacteria; Bacillati; Bacillota; Clostridia; Eubacteriales.